GAUGAAGAACGCAGCGAAAUGCGAUAAGUAAUGUGAAUUGCAGAAUUCAGUGAAUCAUCGAAUCUUUGAACGCACAUUGCGCCCCCCAGUAUUCUGGCGGACAUGCCUGUUCGAGCGUCAUUUCAACCAUCAAGCCCUGCUUGUGUUGGGGUCCUGCGGCUGCCCGCAGGCCCUGAAAACCAGUGGCGGGCUCGCUAGUCACACCGAGCGCAGUAGCACAUCUCGCUCAGGGCGUGCGGCGGGCUCCAGCCGUUAAAGCACCCACCUUUCGCAAGGUUGACCUCGGAUCAGGUAGGAAUACCCGCUGAACUUAAGCAUAUCAAUAAGCGGAGGA
This 334-nucleotide unclassified non-coding RNA is filed under the name soil metagenome. RNAcentral's name for it is "partial contains 5.8S ribosomal RNA, internal transcribed spacer 2, and large subunit ribosomal RNA". The stretch from base 1 to 120 matches the Rfam family "5.8S ribosomal RNA", at positions 35 to 154 of the family's 154-position model. The record is from RNAcentral.